GGGAGCAGUAGCAUCUUAGCUGCUUCCGGCCGCUGGUCGCAGGGCUGCGGGACUACAAUCUUCGCAUGAAAUGGAAGAGAGGGUGGUGCGGAUAGCUUGAGGAAGUUCCGUUUCCCUCCAGAGCAUCAAGCCUCCUCCCGCCCAGGGGGCCUCCUGCUUUCCUAAGCUGCUGUGGAAUCGGCCUGAGGUCCCAGACGCUGUCCAUUGUGCUGCUGCUCUCUGCUUUCUCCAGCCAGAGUGCCAGUUCAUCCGCUUUUGGGAGAACUCCGCCGCCUGGCCUGCCCGCGGAAAAGGAACACUACAAGGCCUGUUAGAGAAGAAAGGGUAGAAUCCCGAGAAUGUUUUCCCCACAGUGCUGAUAAGGAGAGACCACUAUCCCAUCUACUGCUACAGCUCUGGAGACAGAGCUCUCCCACCUGUCAUAUAGAACACAAGGACCAAUCUGCAGAGAAAGAGCAUCCAAACCUGAUCCAGUGGACACUGGGGAAAAACUCACCACAGCUGAGUGUGGAAAAACAAGGCCAACACACACAUCUCUGCACAGAUACAUCUCCCAUAAAGAAACUAAAGUGUUAAUUUACAGGGCACUGUUGCAGACCCACUUCAGCUGGAAGCUAGGAACAUGGACAAGGAGCCUCUCUACCACCAAGGGAGAGAGAGGAAUGUGCUCUUGUCCUGGCAUUGCAUCCACAGGAGGGGCAGGAAAUUCUUUGAAGGUCAGUAACCCCAUACCCCAAUUAACAGUGCUUAAGUGUGAGGCUCCCUCAGAACAUCAGAGAUAUCCUCACUCCCUCACCCCUGCCACCAGGCUAAGAAGCAUGGAGCAAAAAAAAAAAAAAAAAAAACAGAACAAAA
Molecule: long non-coding RNA, 855 nt
Organism: Homo sapiens (human)
Lineage: Eukaryota; Metazoa; Chordata; Mammalia; Primates; Hominidae
Product: long intergenic non-protein coding RNA 2987
Source: Ensembl